UACUCCUACGGGAGGCAGCAGUAGGGAAUCUUCCGCAAUGGACGAAAGUCUGACGGAGCAACGCCGCGUGAGUGAUGAAGGCUUUCGGGUCGUAAAACUCUGUUGUUAGGGAAGAACAAGUGCUAGUUGAAUAAGCUGGCACCUUGACGGUACCUAACCAGAAAGCCACGGCUAACUACGUGCCAGCAGCCGCGGUAAUACGUAGGUGGCAAGCGUUAUCCGGAAUUAUUGGGCGUAAAGCGCGCGCAGGUGGUUUCUUAAGUCUGAUGUGAAAGCCCACGGCUCAACCGUGGAGGGUCAUUGGAAACUGGGAGACUUGAGUGCAGAAGAGGAAAGUGGAAUUCCAUGUGUAGCGGUGAAAUGCGUAGAGAUAUGGAGGAACACCAGUGGCGAAGGCGACUUUCUGGUCUGUAACUGACACUGAGGCGCGAAAGCGUGGGGAGCAAACAGGAUUAGAUACCCUGGUAGUCCACGCCGUAAACGAUGAGUGCUAAGUGUUAGAGGGUUUCCGCCCUUUAGUGCUGAAGUUAACGCAUUAAGCACUCCGCCUGGGGAGUACGGCCGCAAGGCUG
This 572-nucleotide ribosomal RNA is filed under the name Bacillus sp. enrichment culture clone M1C16. RNAcentral's name for it is "bacterial SSU rRNA". It matches the Rfam family "Bacterial small subunit ribosomal RNA", at positions 334 to 896 of the family's 1533-position model. Lineage: Bacteria; Bacillati; Bacillota; Bacilli; Caryophanales; Bacillaceae. The record is from RNAcentral.